GAUGAACGCUGGCGGCGUGCCUAAUACAUGCAAGUCGAGCGAACGGACGAGAAGCUUGCUUCUCUGAUGUUAGCGGCGGACGGGUGAGUAACACGUGGAUAACCUACCUAUAAGACUGGGAUAACUUCGGGAAACCGGAGCUAAUACCGGAGGAUAUUUUGAACCGCAUGGUUCAAAAGUGAAAGACGGUCUUGCUGUCACUUAUAGAUGGAUCCGCGCUGCAUUAGCUAGUUGGUAAGGUAACGGCUUACCAAGGCAACGAUGCAUAGCCGAACUGAGAGGGUGAUCGGCCACACUGGAACUGAGACACGGUCCAGACUCCUACGGGAGGCAGCAGUAGGGAAUCUUACGCAAUGGGCGAAAGCCUGACGGAGCAACGCCGCGUGAGUGAUGAAGGUCUUCGGAUCGUAAAACUCUGUUAUUAGGGAAGAACAUAUGUGUAAGUAACUGUGCACAUCUUGACGGUACCUAAUCAGAAAGCCACGGCUAACUACGUG
Molecule: ribosomal RNA, 497 nt
Filed under: uncultured bacterium
Lineage: Bacteria
Description: partial 16S ribosomal RNA
Rfam family: Bacterial small subunit ribosomal RNA
Source: RNAcentral